RNAcentral lists this unclassified non-coding RNA (311 nucleotides) under Paracoccus seriniphilus. RNAcentral describes it as "Long range pseudoknot". The record is from RNAcentral. Lineage: Bacteria; Pseudomonadati; Pseudomonadota; Alphaproteobacteria; Rhodobacterales; Paracoccaceae.
ACCCAUGACUAUGAUGUCAAGAUGCGCAAUGUGAUGAAAUUCCUCGAAGGAGGGGACAAGGUCAAGGUCACGCUGCGGUUCCGUGGCCGCGAAAUGGCGCACCAGGAUCUUGGUUUCGAAUUGCUUAAUCGGGUGCGAGACGAUGUCGGCGAAGCCGGCAAGAUCGAGUCCAUGCCCAAGAUGGAAGGCCGGCAGAUGAUCAUGAUGAUCGCGCCACGCUGACAUCCGGUGACAGAACGAUGAUAUCAGGCCGCGCCGGCAUUGCCGCGCGGCCUUUGCAAUGAAAGGGGCAACUGACAUGCAAUCACCCA